GAUAAAUAUAAUAAAUUAAUAUUUAAUCUAAGAAUACAAGGGUAGAGCUUUGUAAUUCAAUAAUAAGUAAAAUAUAAGUUAAUAAAUAAAUAUUAUGAUAAUUAGGCUUUUUAGUGGCUAUAUUUUUAAAGUGUUUUAACUAAUAUGAAAAGAUAAUUUAUUUUGUUAUAGCUUUAUUUGUUUAAUAAUAUGUUUUUUAGAACAGGUAAUUAUUAGUAAUAAUGAAAAUAUUAGUAGAAUAAAUAAUAUGAAAAUAAAAAGAGGUAUUAAAGAAAUAAAAUUUAAGUUGAUUAGAAAAAAGCAUAGGAACUCGGCAAAUAAAGUUCUUGCCUGUUUAACAAAAACAUGUCUUUAUGAAGUUAUAUGAAGUCUGACCUGCCCGUUGAGAUGUAUUGAAAGGCCGCGGUAUAUUGACUGUGCAAAGGUAGCAUAAUUAGUAGUUUUUUAAUUGAAGGCUUGUAUGAAAGGUUGGACAAGGGAUAAGCUGUCUUUGUUUUUGUUUUUGAAUUUGUCUUUUAAGUGAAAAGACUUAAAUAAAUUUAAGGGACGAUAAGACCCUAUAAAUCUUUAUAUUAAUAUAAUUUUAUUUUAAAUUUUAAUGUUUAAAAAGAUAGAAUUAAAAAAUAUUGUAUUGGGGCGAUAGGAAUACUAAAUAAACUGUUCAAAUAGAUAAACAAAGAUGUUUGAUUAAAAAAAGAUCCUUGAUGGAGAUUAGAAGUUUAAGUUACUUUAGGGAUAACAGCGUUAUUUUUUUUGAGAGUUCUAAUCGAAAAAAAAGUUUGCGACCUCGAUGUUGAAUUAAAAUUUCUUUGUGGUGUAGCAGCUACAUAAGAAAGUCUGUUCGACUUUUAAAAUUUU
RNAcentral lists this ribosomal RNA (858 nucleotides) under Allogalathea longimana. Its description in RNAcentral is "partial 16S ribosomal RNA". The stretch from base 735 to 858 matches the Rfam family "Archaeal large subunit ribosomal RNA", at positions 2542 to 2666 of the family's 2987-position model. Lineage: Eukaryota; Metazoa; Arthropoda; Malacostraca; Decapoda; Galatheidae. The record is from RNAcentral.